AUGGCGCAGCUGCAGGAGACGUACGCGUGCUCGCCGGCGACGGAGCGCGGGCGCGGGAUCCUGCUGGCGGGGGACGCCAAGACGGAGACCAUCGCCUACUGCUCCGGCCGCAGCGUCAUCUUCCGCCGCCUCGACGCGCCGCUCGACGCGUGGGCCUACACGGAGCACGCCUACCCGACCACCGUCGCCCGCUUCUCCCCCAACGGCGAGUGGGUCGCCUCCGCCGACGCCUCGGGAUGCGUCCGCGUCUGGGGCCGCAACGGUGACCGCGCCCUCAAGGCCGAGUUCCGCCCCAUCACCGGCCGCGUCGACGACCUCCGAUGGUCCCCCGACGGCAUGCGCAUCGUCGUUUCCGGGGACGGCAAGGGCAAGUCCCUCGUCCGCGCCUUCAUGUGGGACUCUGGGAGCACUGUUGGUGAAUUUGAUGGGCACUCAAAGAGAGUUUUGAGUUGCGAUUUCAAGCCAACCCGACCAUUCCGCAUUGUCACAUGUGGUGAAGAUUUUCUGGCAAACUACUAUGAAGGACCACCAUUCAAAUUCAAACAUUCCAUAAGGGAUCACACUAACUUUGUUAACUGUAUCCGGUAUUCACCUGAUGGAACCAAGUUUAUCACUGUGAGUUCAGAUAAGAAGGGUUUAAUAUAUGAUGGCAAAACUGGAGAUAAGAUUGGAGAGCUAUCCAGUGAAGGCAGUCACACAGGCAGCAUAUAUGCUGUUAGCUGGAGUCCUGACAGUAAACAAGUUCUAACAGUUUCUGCUGAUAAAACUGCGAAAGUAUGGGAUAUCAGUGAGGAUGGAAGUGGAACGUUGAACAGAACUUUGGUUUGUACUGGUAUUGGUGGUGUCGAUGACAUGCUUGUGGGUUGCCUCUGGCAGAAUGAUAAUCUUGUCACAAUCUCUCUUGGUGGGACAUUUAAUGUCUUCUCCGCAAGCAAUCCAGACAAAGAGCCAGUAUCAUUUGCAGGACAUUUGAAGACUGCUAGUGCCCUGGCACUUUUUCCCCAAAGUAACCCAAGAACUAUGCUAUCUACAAGCUAUGACGGGGUUAUCUUAAAAUGGAUACAGGGUGUUGGAUAUGGUGGCAGGUUGAUUCGUAAGAACAACACCCAGAUCAAAUGCUUUGUUGCCACAGAAGAGGAGCUGAUCACUUCAGGGUAUGAUAACAAGGUCUUCAGAAUUCCUGUUAAUGGAGAUCAGUGUGGAGACGCUGAGUCAGCUGAUGUAGGGGGUCAGCCAAAUGCUUUAAACAUUGCACUUCAGCAACCUGAAUUUGCACUGGUUACCACAGAUUCUGCGAUCGUAUUGCUGAACAAGUCAAACGUCACUUCCACAACAAAAGUUAGUUACACUAUCACUUCGUCUGCUGUUUCUCCUGAUGGCACUGAAGCUAUCGUUGGUGCUCAAGACGGGAAACUGCGGAUCUAUUCCAUCAGUGGGGAUACUGUUACAGAAGAAGCGGUACUUGAAAAACACCGGGGUCCUAUUACUACCAUACAUUAUUCGCCGGAUGUUUCCAUGUUUUGUUCUGCUGAUUCCAACAGGGAAGCUGUUGCAUGGGAUCGGGCAACUAGAGAGGUGAAGCUGAAGAACAUGCUGUUCCACACAGCUCGGGUAAACUGCCUGGCCUGGUCACCCGACAGCCGUUUCGUCGCCACGGGCUCGCUGGACACCUGCGCGAUCAUAUACGACGUAGACAAGCCAGCGGCCAGCCGCACCACCAUCAAGGGAGCUCACCUCGGCGGGGUCCACGGGAUCUCCUUCGCCGACAACGACACUCUGGUGACCGCCGGCGAGGACGCGUGCAUCCGUGUCUGGAAACUGGCGCAGCAGUAG
Molecule: ribosomal RNA, 1833 nt
Filed under: Triticum aestivum (bread wheat)
Lineage: Eukaryota; Viridiplantae; Streptophyta; Magnoliopsida; Poales; Poaceae
Description: partial small subunit ribosomal RNA
Source: RNAcentral